AAUCAACGCUGGCGGCGUGCCUCAGACAUGCAAGUCGAACGCGAAAGUUCCCUUCGGGGGAUGAGUAGAGUGGCGCACGGGUGAGUAACACGUAGGUAAUCUACCUUUGGAUGGGGAAGUAACAACCGGAAACGGUUGCUAAUACCGCAUAAUGCAGCGGCACCUAAUGGUGACAGUUGUUAAAGCGGGGGAGUCGAAAGACCUCGCGUCUGAAGAGGAGCCUGCGGCGGAUUAGCAGUUGGUAAGGUAACGGCUUACCAAGGCGACGAUCCGUAGCCGGCCUGAGGAGGGCGGUCGGCCACACUGACACUGACAUACGGGUCA
RNAcentral lists this ribosomal RNA (324 nucleotides) under uncultured bacterium. Its description in RNAcentral is "bacterial SSU rRNA". It matches the Rfam family "Bacterial small subunit ribosomal RNA", at positions 32 to 333 of the family's 1533-position model. The record is from RNAcentral.